AAUUUUAUAUUUUAAUUAAAAAUUUUAGAUUGCAAUUCUAAAGAUAUAAAU
This 51-nucleotide transfer RNA is filed under the name Empria pallimacula. Its description in RNAcentral is "partial tRNA-Cys". Lineage: Eukaryota; Metazoa; Arthropoda; Insecta; Hymenoptera; Tenthredinidae. The record is from RNAcentral.